Molecule: non-coding RNA, 235 nt
Organism: Clostridium pasteurianum
Lineage: Bacteria; Bacillati; Bacillota; Clostridia; Eubacteriales; Clostridiaceae
Source: Rfam
GCAAUCCUACCAGGUAGAACUUAACCAGUAGCCUGUACCUAGUUCCUUGGAGCCGAAAUGGUAACAUUAGGUUUAAGUGUAGGGCGGGGAGCAAACGAGCCGAAACGAAAGUGAAGCUAUUGAGCCACGAAAUUAUUAUUUAAAUGAAGAGGUCGAUACUGUUCUAGUGGUAGCAGACAAUAUUUUAUGAAUCGUUAUGGUGAGAUUUGUAAAACUCUUCCGAGGUCUGAGGGCU